This 255-nucleotide long non-coding RNA is filed under the name Lathyrus oleraceus (garden pea). Its description in RNAcentral is "Pisum sativum (pea) long non-coding RNA (PSAT_LNC025588)". Lineage: Eukaryota; Viridiplantae; Streptophyta; Magnoliopsida; Fabales; Fabaceae. The record is from RNAcentral.
UGAGGAAAAAAAUGUGAAAUGGAAAAAAGUUGGUAGUGGUGACUUUUGGGAGGGAAAAGUUUUUUUGGGUUUUGAUUUAGGUUUGGAGAAGAGGGGUUGAAUGAUAUUUUUUCAUCAAUUUUGGGGGCUAGAAAGCAUGAAAAAUGAAGGGGAAUAGUGCAUCUAUUUAUAGGGAAAGUUGGUGGGAAAAUGGGGGGAACCAAAUACCCUUUGUGCAAAAAAGGCUCUCUUUUUUUGGAGUGUGCAAGGCAAAAU